RNAcentral lists this ribosomal RNA (253 nucleotides) under uncultured bacterium. Its description in RNAcentral is "partial 16S ribosomal RNA". It matches the Rfam family "Bacterial small subunit ribosomal RNA", at positions 524 to 776 of the family's 1533-position model. The record is from RNAcentral.
UACGUAGGGCGCAAGCGUUAUCCGGAAUUAUUGGGCGUAAAGAGCUCGUAGGCGGUUUGUCGCGUCUGCCGUGAAAGUCCGGGGCUCAACUCCGGAUCUGCGGUGGGUACGGGCAGACUAGAGUGAUGUAGGGGAGACUGGAAUUCCUGGUGUAGCGGUGAAAUGCGCAGAUAUCAGGAGGAACACCGGUGGCGAAGGCGGGUCUCUGGGCCGAUACUGACGCUGAGGAGCGAAAGCGUGGGGAGCAAACAGG